RNAcentral lists this unclassified non-coding RNA (421 nucleotides) under Salvia miltiorrhiza (redroot sage). Its description in RNAcentral is "partial external transcribed spacer". Lineage: Eukaryota; Viridiplantae; Streptophyta; Magnoliopsida; Lamiales; Lamiaceae. The record is from RNAcentral.
CUGCUCUGGCAGCGACGACAUCUCCUCCACGUCUCUUCAUAUUUGGCGCGAGCGCUUGCUCGGCCGACGUCGGUUUCCUGUGCUGAAUACCUAUUGCGAGGGCAUUGUGUCGGCUACGUUUGUUCUAUUCCCACCUUGUGCCGCUGCUCCACGUGGGCGUGCGGUGCGGGGAGGGCCAAAUCGCGCGCGUCGUGUGUCGCACCGCGUUCGCCCCUAAGGGCGUUCGGGUUGUCGACCCACGACGUGUGCUCCGUCUCUUCGGUACCGAGCAUUGUGGGGGUACGAAGGCCUCCGCCUCCGAAGACCAAAAACUAACCGUCUUGCCUUCCGGGGAACCAACGGUCGUUUCGUCUUUGGGCGGGCUCUUGCCAUUCCGUUCAAGUCCGGCCCAACUCCAUGAAGAAUGCUACCUGGUUGAUCC